This 253-nucleotide ribosomal RNA is filed under the name uncultured bacterium. RNAcentral's name for it is "partial 16S ribosomal RNA". It matches the Rfam family "Bacterial small subunit ribosomal RNA", at positions 524 to 776 of the family's 1533-position model. The record is from RNAcentral.
UACGUAGGGGGCAAGCGUUGUCCGGAUUUAUUGGGCGUAAAGAGCGUGUAGGCGGCCUUACAGGUCAGCUGUGAAAACUCGAGGCUCAACCUCGAGACGUCGGUUGAAACCGUAUGGCUAGAGUCCGGAAGAGGAGAGUGGAAUUCCCGGUGUAGCGGUGUAAUGCGCAGAUAUCGGGAAGAACACCCGUGGCGAAGGCGGCUCUCUGGGACGGUACUGACGCUGAGACGCGAAAGCGUGGGGAGCGAACAGG